UGAGUACGAGCUGCUACGGCAGCGAAGUGGGUGAUGUCAAGCUUCCAAGAAAAGCCCUAUACCCGUUAAGGCAUGAUGGCCUGUACCCGAAACCGACACAGGUGGGGUGGUAGAGAAUACCGAGGGGCGCGAGAUAACUCUCUCUAAGGAACUCGGCAAAAUGGCCCCGUAACUUCGGGAGAAGGGGUGCCACCGCAAGGUGGUCGCAGUGAAGAGGCCCAGGCGACUGUUUACCAAAAACACAGGUCUCCGCUAAGUCGGAAGACGAUGUAUGGGGGCUGACGCCUGCCCAGUGCCGGAAGGUUAAGGAAGCUGGUCAGCGUAAGCGAAGCUAGCGACUGAAGCCCCGGUGAACGGCGGCCGUAACGAUAACGGUCCUAAGGUAGCGAAAUUCCUUGUCGGGUAAGUUCCGACCCGCACGAAAGGCGUAACGAUCUGGGCGCUGUCUCGGAGAGAGGCUCGGCGAAAUAGAAUUGUCUGUGAAGAUGCGGACUACGUGCACCCGGACAGAAAGACCCUAUGAAGCUUUACUGUAGCUUGGUAUUGUGCUCGGGCUCGGAAUGCGCAGGAUAGGUGGGAGGCUAUGAACCAUUGCUUGUGGGUGAUGGUGAGCCACUGGUGAGAUACCACUCUUUCCGAGCUAGAGUUCUAACAGCCACCCGUUAUCCGGGGGCUGGACAGUAUCAGGUGGGCAGUUUGACUGGGGCGGUCGCCUCCUAAAAGGUAACGGAGGCGCGCAAAGGUUUGCUCAGGCUGGUUGGAAAUCAGCCGACGAGUGUAAAAGCAGAAGCAAGCUUGACUGUGAGACCUACAAGUCAAACAGGGAGGAAACUCGGCUUUAGUGAUCCGACGGUUCUGCGUGGAAGGGCCGUCGCUCAACGGAUAAAAGUUACUCUAAGGAUAACAGGCUGAUCUCCCCCAAGAGUUCACAUCGACGGGGAGGUUUGGCACCUCGAUGUCGGCUCAUCGCAACCUGGGGCUGAAGUCGGUCCCAAGGGUUGGGCUGUUCGCCCAUUAAAGCGGUACGCGAGCUGGGUUCAGAACGUCGUGAGACAGUUCGGUCCAUAUCCGGUGCAUGCGCAGGAAUAUUGAGAGGAUUUCUCCCUAGUACGAGAGGACCGGGAGGAACGCACCUCUGGUGUACCAGUUAUCGUGCCAACGGUAAACGCUGGGUAGCCAUGUGCGGAGAGGAUAACCGCUGAAAGCAUCUAAGUGGGAAGCCCACCUCAAGAUGAGUAUUCCCAUGGGGUAACCCAGUAAGGUCACGGGAAGAACACCCGUUGAUAGGCUCUACGUGGAAGCGCAGUAAUGUGUGAAGCGGAGGAGUACUAAUAGACCGAGGGCUUGAGU
This 1350-nucleotide ribosomal RNA is filed under the name metagenome. Its description in RNAcentral is "bacterial LSU rRNA". It matches the Rfam family "Bacterial large subunit ribosomal RNA", at positions 1564 to 2925 of the family's 2925-position model. The record is from RNAcentral.